Molecule: ribosomal RNA, 468 nt
Filed under: uncultured bacterium
Lineage: Bacteria
Description: partial 16S ribosomal RNA
Rfam family: Bacterial small subunit ribosomal RNA
Source: RNAcentral
GACGAACGCUGGCGGCGUGCUUAACACAUGCAAGUCGAACGGAAAGGCACUGCUUUUGUGGGGUGCUCGAGUGGCGAACGGGUGCGUAACACGUGAGUAACCUGCCCUUGACUUUGGGAUAACUUCAGGAAACUGGGGCUAAUACCGGAUAGGAGCUCCUGCUGCAUGGUGGGGGUUGGAAAGUUUCGGCGGUUGGGGAUGGACUCGCGGCUUAUCAGCUUGUUGGUGGGGUAGUGGCUUACCAAGGCUGUGACGGGUAGCCGGCCUGAGAGGGUGACCGGCCACAUUGGGACUGAGAGACGGCCCAGACUCCUACGGGAGGCAGCAGUGGGGAAUAUUGCACAAUGGGCGGAAGCCUGAUGCAGCAACGCCGCGUGCGGGAUGACGGCCUUUGGGUUGUAAACCGCUUUCGCCUGUGACGAAGCGUGAGUGACGGUAAUGGGUAAAUAAGCACCGGCUAACUACGUG